Molecule: long non-coding RNA, 3339 nt
Organism: Equus caballus (horse)
Lineage: Eukaryota; Metazoa; Chordata; Mammalia; Perissodactyla; Equidae
Source: Ensembl
CCUCAGGUCAAUUUCACAUUUAUUGAGUGAGGCAGAUAUUAAAAGGGGAAUCAGAGACAUCCCUGUCUUCAAGGAGAACAGCUUAAGGUGUGUUAAUGGCUCCCCAACAAUGACGGGCUCUGCAGCCUGACAAACACAUUCUUUCACAAGCAGCCCCUGCCUAUCUAUCCAGCCUCACUACCAGCCCUUUUCCUAUCUGUACCCUCCAUCCCUAGCCAUCCCAGCUAUCUGAGCGUUCCGUUCACUCCCUCCCUCUGCCCCUUUGUAUCAUCAAAGCCUCAGUCCAAACAGCAUCUCCUGAUUGUACCAACUUUUUAAUCUAGAGCUAUGCUUCUUGAGGGCAAGUCUGUAUUUGAUUCAUCUUUCUACUCACAAGCCUUGCACAGUCCGAGGCACCAGGUCAGCCCUGCAGCCCAGCUGGAGCUCUUCAAUUACUCAAGGCAUGUGCCCAGGCGUGAGAAAUUCUGGCUCCCUGCUCAGCGUAGAUAACACCAUCGCUUAAGCUGCCUCUUUCCAAUUCGUUCCUCCCAAGUCUGUCUUCAAGAUAGAGGACACCAGAUCCUCAUCCUGGGCGCAUCAAUUCUAAACCAGGUAAAUCUUCUUAAUAUAAUGCUAUUGCAGCUCUGAGAAUCUGUGUUUUAAAUACAAACAAGCUACACCUGUGUUUGCAUCUUCAGCGCCUAUCGUGAUGGCAUAUCUGGCACCAGAGGAGUUAGUCUCUUCUAUGAGCGUACCAUAGAGACCCUCUGAGCCCCUCCCCUCCCUCUCUCCCAUGCUUUCUUGAGCCCACGCAGCCAGGCGCCUGUCCCACCACUCCACCUUGAGGAGGCCCUUUACCUGGGAAAGGAAAGGAGCCAUCAGCCACCAUCAUGAUUUGGAAGGAGAAGGGAAAGAAAGAGUGGAACCACCCUGCCUAAGAAGGUGGGGCGUAUUUAAGCAUAUUGUGUUGAGCGGAACAGUAAGAAGCCCCAAACUGGGGGAGAGGAGGCCUAGGAGAGAAGAGUCCCGAGAAGGGGACAGAAGCCGAAAUGAAUGGCAGGAAGCAAGACUGGCCAAUGGGCAACUUCCUGGAGUCAGGAAACGAUUUUUAAGACAGUCACCUUGAUAGAGCAACCUCGCACUGUCAUCUUCAUUGUCCUGUAAUGCCACGCCAUGACCCCAAGCAUGCAAACAAGCAUCGAUCGGCAGCCCAAUGUUAGUGGAACUUAUGGGAAUGGACAGACGCAGGACCAGAGCAGGGUGAGAGAGCUCGGAAAGAUGGGAACCACAGGAACAAAGGGAACAGCGAAGCCAGCUGCAUUCUGUGACCCUGUGAAAAAGUACUUUUGUUAAUGAGCAAAAAGACAUGUCAAUGAGAAACGUUUUUCUCUAAAUAUAAACUUCCAGCAACUUUUCUGUUGAAAUCAUUUCAGUAAGAACAGAAUAGCCCACUCCUACCUCAGGGAGCCGAGCCGUCUUGGACGCAGAGAAGGAGCCCGGAUUUGCAACCCAGCUGCAGAGCUUCAGAUAAGGGGUUUUUGGACGCUACAUUCUCCUGACCCUAUAGCUUCCAAGGAAACAGGACUCAGUCUGCCCCUCGGCCCAGGCUGGUGUUAAUUCCUUUAUACACAGCGCUAUUUGCUUUGAGGGCAUUAAAACACAGCUUCAUUUGAAUUUUAGCUGAAUCCCACCAUUUCCCCAAGUCCUGUAACAAGUUGGUGGCUUCCUGCGUCCGAUGAAGCACUCCCUGGUCCCCAGAGCACUGUCCCAUGCUGUAACAAGUCAGUACACCUCCUCGUGGACCACACAUUUGUCCCUGGGGAUCUCUGCCUUCCCUAUUUGAGACAUUCCAGGGAAGUGAUCCCUGGACGCAUGUGGGAAUAUUGUGGAAGGUGAGGGAUUCUCUCAGCACAAGAGAAAGGAAAGGUUGGCCCCAAAAGCUCUAAGAUUUAGGGUUCUCUGGUUUUAUGUAUAUAUAUGUGAAACAAAGGAAUGCAGCAUAGUAGGGAAUAACUGAGGAUUUUGCAGUCAGGCAGUCCUGGGUGAAAUGUCCAGCUCCGCCCCUCACUAGCUGCGCGUUACCCUACCUGGCUCAGCUUUUGUCAUCUUUAUUCUUGGGUGUUGUGAGUAUUCAAGGAGAUAAUGCUUGAGAAAUGCUUAUCAUAUGCCUGUCUCCUAUACUAGCCACUCAAUAAUGUUAACUACUCCUGGUGGGAAACUAGGAGUGGAUAUGAAUACGAAACGGAAAGAAUCAUGGGAAACUAAAGAUAUCAGCUCUCUUGAGGUGGUAGGAUUUGGCUCAUUUUCUUUGAUAUCCUAUAUUGCUUUCCUUUUCUUGUGACGUUUCCUUUGGCUCCUGGCAUCAGCCGGACCACAGGCCUGCUUCUUGUGAAGGGCUCUCCGACUCGGUUGACGGCAACUCUGUUCUUCCAGUUGAAAAUCCUGGAGACCUCCUUGAUCCUGUCUCUCCUGCCUUGCAUCUAAAGGAGUAAAGCUUAUUGGCUCUUCCUUCAAAACCCCAUCACCUGCCACCUUCACCUGUCCAUCCUGAUCCCUUCAACUAUCACCACUUGCCUUGGUUAUUGAAACUGCAUCCUAACUGGGCUUCCUGCCUCCCCCAUCAAUCCCCUACAGCAGCAGGCUCCACUCAGCAGCCAGGAAAACCCUUUUCAUAUGCAAAUCUGGCUGCCCCCUCCUCCCCUCAAAACCCUCCAAUGAUGCCCACCUCACCAAAAUCUUUACAAUAGCUUACGAGGUCCUAUACAAUCUGGCUCUGGUUACCUCUCUGAAUUUCUCUCGCACCCUCUCCUUUUCAUUACUCCACAGCAGCCACACUAGCUUCUUGGCUAUUCCUUGAAAUACCAACGGUGCUUUCACCUCAGGGCCUUUGCAUGUGCUGUUUCUUCUGCCUGGAGCACUCUUCCUCUACAUUUCCACAUGGCUCACUCCCUCACUUCCUUCAAGUCUACACCUGAGUGUCACUUUCUUGGAGAUGCCCCCUGACCACUGCAUGUGUGCACAUGCACAAACACACAUGCAUGCACAUAAAUGGCAAAUAUUUCCAAUCCCACCACACCCUGUCUCCCACACUCAAAUUUAUUUCCCCCAUAUCAUCUGUUGCCAUUGGACUCACAUCAUAUUGACCCUUCUGUGUGUUUAUUUCCUAGCCCUGCCACUAGAAAAUACGUUCCGCUUGAUCAGGAGCUUACUUUAGUCUGUUCACUACUGUGUCUCCAGCAUGUAGAACAAAGUUGGCAUAAAGUAGAUAUUCAAUUAAUAUUUUUAAUUGAACUGUAUGAAUGAAAUCAAAGGUUUUAAUAGGUUUUAAUUAAUUCCCAUGCACUCCUGAGCAGUAGAGAC